RNAcentral lists this unclassified non-coding RNA (505 nucleotides) under Hevea brasiliensis (rubber tree). Lineage: Eukaryota; Viridiplantae; Streptophyta; Magnoliopsida; Malpighiales; Euphorbiaceae. The record is from RNAcentral.
GCUAGAGAAGGCUUUGGGCAUGGCUGACACGUCCAUGUGGACUAUAUAAUUGUCGGUUUGUGAGAAGACAGUAGUAAAUGAAAGCCAGCACAAGAGAAUGGCAUUGUAAUGCAUAGCCAUAGAUUUAGAAAUUGAAGUUUUUUUACACAAUCAAUAUUGCUAAGUUGAGUAGGUUUAUAUAGAGAACUGAUAAAGUAUUAAUGAAACUCUUCUUGAUCUUUUAAUCCAAUUGUGGAUAAAGCUAAGAUGCACAACUUGAUUCCAGUAGCAAUGUGUAGCCAAAUGAAUCUUCAUUCUUCAUUCCACUAGCCCUCAAGUUGUCAUGCUGCACCAUGGAUUUUGAUAUUGACAGCACUAACAAACCAGAGCCCUGUUUGCUUUAGGGAUAAUAUUAUUUAGAAAAUACAUUCUAGAAUUUAUUUGACUUUGGAUGGCUUUUAGGGGAAAAAAAUAUCUAAGAAAAAUGUUUUAAUUUUAGUUUGUAGGCAGAUUUUGAAUCGGAACU